RNAcentral lists this ribosomal RNA (839 nucleotides) under uncultured organism. Its description in RNAcentral is "bacterial SSU rRNA". It matches the Rfam family "Bacterial small subunit ribosomal RNA", at positions 61 to 913 of the family's 1533-position model. The record is from RNAcentral.
GUCGAACGAGCGAGAGAGAGCUUGCUUUCUCGAGCGAGUGGCGAACGGGUGAGUAACGCGUGAGGAACCUGCCUCAAAGAGGGGGACAACAGUUGGAAACGACUGCUAAUACCGCAUAAGCCCACGGCUCGGCAUCGAGCAGAGGGAAAAGGAGCAAUCCGCUUUGAGAUGGCCUCGCGUCCGAUUAGCUAGUUGGUGAGGUAACGGCCCACCAAGGCGACGAUCGGUAGCCGGACUGAGAGGUUGAACGGCCACAUUGGGACUGAGACACGGCCCAGACUCCUACGGGAGGCAGCAGUGGGGAAUAUUGCACAAUGGGGGAAACCCUGAUGCAGCGACGCCGCGUGGAGGAAGAAGGUCUUCGGAUUGUAAACUCCUGUUGUUGAGGAAGAUAAUGACGGUACUCAACAAGGAAGUGACGGCUAACUACGUGCCAGCAGCCGCGGUAAAACGUAGGUCACAAGCGUUGUCCGGAAUUACUGGGUGUAAAGGGAGCGCAGGCGGGAAGACAAGUUGGAAGUGAAAUCUAUGGGCUCAACCCAUAAACUGCUUUCAAAACUGUUUUUCUUGAGUAGUGCAGAGGUAGGCGGAAUUCCCGGUGUAGCGGUGGAAUGCGUAGAUAUCGGGAGGAACACCAGUGGCGAAGGCGGCCUACUGGGCACCAACUGACGCUGAGGCUCGAAAGUGUGGGUAGCAAACAGGAUUAGAUACCCUGGUAGUCCACACUGUAAACGAUGAAUGCUAGGUGUGGGGGGACUGACCCCCUCCGUGCCGGAGUUAACACAAUAAGCAUUCCACCUGAGGACUACGACCGCAAGGUUGCAACUCAAAGGAAUUGA